UGCAUAUCAAUAAGCGGAGGAAAAGAAACCAACAGGGAUUGCCUCAGUAGCGGCGAGUGAAGCGGCAAGAGCUCAGAUUUGAAAUCGUGCUUUGCGGCACGAGUUGUAGAUUGCAGGUUGGAGUCUGUGUGGAAGGCGGUGUCCAAGUCCCUUGGAACAGGGCGCCCAGGAGGGUGAGAGCCCCGUGGGAUGCCGGCGGAAGCAGUGAGGCCCUUCUGACGAGUCGAGUUGUUUGGGAAUGCAGCUCCAAGCGGGUGGUAAAUUCCAUCUAAGGCUAAAUACUGGCGAGAGACCGAUAGCGAACAAGUACUGUGAAGGAAAGAUGAAAAGCACUUUGAAAAGAGAGUGAAACAGCACGUGAAAUUGUUGAAAGGGAAGGGUAUUGCGCCCGACAUGGGGAUUGCGCACCGCUGCCUCUCGUGGGCGGCGCUCUGGGCUUUCCCUGGGCCAGCAUCGGUUCUUGCUGCAGGAGAAGGGGUUCUGGAACGUGGCUCUUCGGAGUGUUAUAGCCAGGGCCAGAUGCUGCGUGCGGGGACCGAGGACUGCGGCCGUGUAGGUCACGGAUGCUGC
Molecule: ribosomal RNA, 570 nt
Filed under: Meyerozyma guilliermondii
Lineage: Eukaryota; Fungi; Ascomycota; Pichiomycetes; Serinales; Debaryomycetaceae
Description: eukaryotic LSU rRNA
Rfam family: Eukaryotic large subunit ribosomal RNA
Source: RNAcentral